This 529-nucleotide ribosomal RNA is filed under the name uncultured bacterium. RNAcentral's name for it is "bacterial SSU rRNA". It matches the Rfam family "Bacterial small subunit ribosomal RNA", at positions 777 to 1304 of the family's 1533-position model. The record is from RNAcentral.
AAUAGAUACCCAGGUAGUCCACGCCCUAAACGAUGUCGACUGGUUGUUGGGGGUUUGACACUCUCAGUAACGAAGCUAACGCGUGAAGUCGACCGCCUGGGGAGUACGGCCGCAAGGUUAAAACUCAAAGGAAUUGACGGGGACCCGCACAAGCGGUGGAUUAUGUGGAUUAAUUCGAUGCAACGCGAAAAACCUUACCUACCCUUGACAUGUCCGGAAGGCUGCUGAAAGGCGGCUGUGCCCGAAAGGGAACUGGAACACAGGUGCUGCAUGGCUGUCGUCAGCUCGUGUCGUGAGAUGUUGGGUUAAGUCCCGCAACGAGCGCAACCCUCGCCUUCAGUUGCCAGCAGGUUUGGCUGGGCACUCUGGAGGAACUGCCGGUGACAAGCCGGAGGAAGGUGGGGAUGACGUCAAGUCCUCAUGGCCCUUAUGGGCUGGGCUACACACGUGCUACAAUGGCGGUGACAAUGGGCAGCGAACCCGCGAGGGGGAGCUAAUCCCAAAAAGCCGUCUCAGUUCGGAUUGCACU